AAAAAUUAAAUAAAAUUAACUAAAUUCUAAAUUAAUUGGGAUUAUUUUUUAAAUAACCCAAAAUUCUGUUAAUUCACCGAGCCCCAUUAUUCCAUUAAAAUCUGUCCUGGCUCGUUCAUCCCGACACAGCAGCCCAAAAUCCCAGGCUCAAUCGCUUGCCUGACCCGCUCCAGCCCAACUACUUUUCCCCUUUCUUCUAGCCGAUUAACACAGCCAACAAUGACAAUACAACACCAGCAGCACAACAAACAACAUCAACAACCUUCAGCCAACACCCCACCAUAUCAGCAACAUUAGUAGCUAAUCAAUGAUAAAAAAAUCGGCGACACGAACCCACAUACCCAGCAACCUGCACCGUCCAGCUCAGCCAAACGAGGAAACAGCUUCAACCGCCUUGCCUCUUCUCCGUCUGUACGAAUCCACGAGCUACGCACGAGUUUGGAAGGGCAUCGAAGCUUCUAGGUUAUUUCACUGAAUUUUCAAUUUUCAUUUUUCAGAUUCUCCAAAUUCGUACAAAAGUAGUACGAUUCCAGUUCACUCAACAAACCUAAUAUUCAAUUUGAAACUACCUUCAAAAUCCUCAAAAGACCUUAGAAAAUCCUUAUCUCACAUCGUCGAUUCCUCAAGAAUUGAGAUUUUUGAGUUUCUGUAUAAACCCCUCUUUCACUGUUAAAAAGGAGUUUUUUGUUUAACCAAGCAAAAAAAGAUGGAAAUUCUCUUUACGCAGCUAGGAUUUUGAACCUCGGUCUCCAGCUUGGAGUUUUGAGAAUUUUGGCUGAGUCUUUUUAAAUUUUCUUAUUGUUUUGGAAUCAAAGAAUUUGGUGAAGUCGUCGUUGAAUCAUCGUUCCUGUUGGCUGCUCCUGAAAAGUGAAAUAUACCCGAGUCCAAAUGGACUCUAUCUCCUCUGCAUUUCCUUCAUGGCCCAGGGAGGCCCAAUCUGUCGAGUCCAAGACUCCAUUGAUAAAGUCCCAAAAUGGGACUGACCUGCGGCAAUAUACGAAGAAUAUACAGAUCUUACAGGUUGAAGGAAUCUGAUAUACAUCAUAUAUAGCAGGAAAUAAAGGAAAGAAGUGAAGUACCAGUUUUUAUACACUGAUAUACAGUGUGUGUACAAAAACGCAACAACAUCAAGAUUGAUAUACAACCAAUAUACAGCCGGUCUACACUGCAACAAUGGACCAAAGUUCAUUAAAAAUAAGGCCCAAAACCUGGGCAGAUUUGAAAUGGGCUAGAAAGGGGCCAAAUCUCAAAUUUUCUUCAUUUAUUACAUUGUAAUUGAUAUUUAAUUAUUUAUUUGUAAUUUAAUUUAACUUACCUAGAUGAAUCCUCGGAAAACAAGUUUAUGAUUAAACAAUUCACUUUAUUUUGGU
Molecule: long non-coding RNA, 1370 nt
Organism: Capsicum annuum
Lineage: Eukaryota; Viridiplantae; Streptophyta; Magnoliopsida; Solanales; Solanaceae
Exons: 2
Source: RefSeq, a predicted model, not a curated record